AUGAGCACAGAAGCCCAGAAGGCGGGGCCUGGCCAACGCCGGGUCAGGAGAGACUGUCACGAUGGGAGGCAGCUACUGUCACGGGGCUCUGGUCCCCACCACAGCACACCUGCCACCAGGCCUCCUCCGGGACGCCUCCUUGAGGAGGGCUCUCACUCCCAGAGAAAACGGACCUGCGCCAGAGAGCCGAGGCCUGGUGAAGGGGGCUCCGCUCCGAGGAGGUCCCCCAGGGCGUUUCCACAUCAGACGCCUGAGAAGAUGGAAUUACUUCUCACUUGCAUGAAGAAUAAACAAAUCCGUCACGUUGGGCAGGAGCAUCGGGAGUCCUCACGGCGGUGCGGAAUCUUCGGUGCGCGAUGGUGUGUAGACCCUGAGUGGGCAAAGGAGUUCCUAGGGCACAUUUGGCACGUGGGCACUCCGAGUCCAUUGGACACUCUCGCAAAUGUGACUUCCCAGAGGUCCAAGGUUGAGGCGGUGUUUCUGUCAUUUUAUUCCAACUGCGUCACGCGGAAGUUAACUUCCAGGAAGCAGCCACCCGCACCGGAGGCUGUCGCCCUGGCCCGUGGAGCUGGCAGGCACGACAGAGAUGCUGGGUUUCUGCGGCUGCAGCCUGCUCUCUGGGCCCUCACUGCCUGCACCCAGAGGUGGCUUUCUAGUGCCCAGGAUGCAGCUAAGGGUGCAUGUUCCCGGGGACGUGGCUAAGGCUGCGCGUUCCUAAAGCAGGCUUCCCGCAGCGGCCUCCCCAGGCCUCACCUUCCUGCCCCGGGUAGGGGAUGUAGCUCUACAGAAGGCCUUCCAGACUCAUUCUUGGAGCCUGGGGCACGGACCACUCCUCCCUUGGACACUGAUGGCAGCACACAAUUCUUUGCAGAAGAUCUCUUUCUGCUUAAAAUAGCUAGUGGGGCGCCUGGGUGGCUCAGUCGGUUGAGCGCCGGACUUUGGCUCAGGUCGUGAUCUCAUGGUUGGUGAGUUCGAGCCCUGCGUUAAGCUCUGUGCUGACUGCUCAGCUCCUGGAGCCUGCCUCGAUUCUCUCUCUCUCUCUCUCCCUCUCUCUCGGCCUGUCCCUGCUUACUCUCUGUCUCUUAAAAAGAAACAUUAAAGGAGCGCCUGGAUGGCUCGGUCGGUUGGGCGUCCGACUUCGGCUCAGGUCACGAUCUCACGGUCUGUGAGUUCAAGCCCCACGUCAGGUUCUGUGCUGACAGCUGGAGCCUGCUUCGGAUUCUGUAUCUUCCUGUCUCUCUCUCUCUCUCUCUUUCUCUCUCUGCCCCUCCCCUGCUCUCACUCUGUCUCUCUCUUAAAAAUAAACGUUAAAAAAAUUAUAAAUAAAAUAAAAUA
Molecule: long non-coding RNA, 1335 nt
Filed under: Felis catus (domestic cat)
Lineage: Eukaryota; Metazoa; Chordata; Mammalia; Carnivora; Felidae
Description: lncRNA (ENSFCAG00000049352.1)
Source: RNAcentral